GCAUCAGUAGUUUAGUGGCAGAAUACGAGCUUCCCAAGCUUGUGACCCGGGUUCAAUUCCCGGCUGGUGCA
RNAcentral lists this transfer RNA (71 nucleotides) under Candidatus Pacearchaeota archaeon CG10_big_fil_rev_8_21_14_0_10_34_12. RNAcentral's name for it is "tRNA-Gly". It matches the Rfam family "tRNA". From Rfam's summary of the family: Transfer RNA (tRNA) molecules are approximately 80 nucleotides in length. Their secondary structure includes four short double-helical elements and three loops (D, anti-codon, and T loops). Further hydrogen bonds mediate the characteristic L-shaped molecular structure. tRNAs have two regions of fundamental functional importance: the anti-codon, which is responsible for specific mRNA codon recognition, and the 3' end, to which the tRNAs corresponding amino acid is attached (by aminoacyl-tRNA synthetases). tRNAs cope with the degeneracy of the genetic code in two manners: having more than one tRNA (with a specific anti-codon) for a particular amino acid; and 'wobble' base-pairing, i.e. permitting non-standard base-pairing at the 3rd anti-codon position. Lineage: Archaea; Nanobdellati. The record is from RNAcentral.